GAGUUUGAUCAUGGCUCAGAUUGAACGCUGGCGGCAUGCCUUACACAUGCAAGUCGAACGGCAGCAUGAUCUAGCUUGCUAGAUUGAUGGCGAGUGGCGAACGGGUGAGUAAUACAGUCGGAACGUGCCCUGUAGUGGGGGAUAACUAGUCGAAAGAUUAGCUAAUACCGCAUACGACCUGAGAGUGAAAGUGGGGGACCGCAAGGCCUCAUGCUAUAGGAGCGGCCGAUGUCUGAUUAGCUAGUUGGUGGGGUAAAGGCCCACCAAGGCGACGAUCAGUAGCUGGUCUGAGAGGACGAUCAGCCACACUGGGACUGAGACACGGGCCCAGACUCCUACGGGAGGCAGCAGUGGGGAAUUUUGGACAAUGGGCGAAAGCCUGAUCCAGCAAUGCCGCGUGUGUG
This 404-nucleotide ribosomal RNA is filed under the name uncultured microorganism. Its description in RNAcentral is "bacterial SSU rRNA". It matches the Rfam family "Bacterial small subunit ribosomal RNA", at positions 9 to 407 of the family's 1533-position model. The record is from RNAcentral.